RNAcentral lists this ribosomal RNA (468 nucleotides) under uncultured bacterium. Its description in RNAcentral is "partial 16S ribosomal RNA". It matches the Rfam family "Bacterial small subunit ribosomal RNA", at positions 28 to 507 of the family's 1533-position model. The record is from RNAcentral.
GACGAACGCUGGCGGCGUGCUUAACACAUGCAAGUCGAACGGAAAGGCCCUGCUUUUGUGGGGUGCUCGAGUGGCGAACGGGUGAGUAACACGUGAGUAACCUGCCCUUGACUUUGGGAUAACUUCAGGAAACUGGGGCUAAUACCGGAUAGGAGCUCCUGCUGCAUGGUGGGGGUUGGAAAGUUUCGGCGGUUGGGGAUGGACUCGCGGCUUAUCAGCUUGUUGGUGGGGUAGUGGCUUACCAAGGCUUUGACGGGUAGCCGGCCUGAGAGGGUGACCGGCCACACGGGGACUGAGAGACGGCCCAGACUCCUACGGGGUGCAGCAGUGGGGAAUAUUGCACAAUGGGCGGACGCCUGAUGCGGCAACGCCGCGUGCGGGAUGACGGCCUUCGGGUUGUAAACCGCUUUCGACUGUGACGAAGAGUGAGUGACGGUAAUGAGUAAAGAAGCACCGGCUAACUACGUG